Molecule: ribosomal RNA, 1403 nt
Filed under: metagenome
Description: bacterial LSU rRNA
Rfam family: Bacterial large subunit ribosomal RNA
Source: RNAcentral
UUAAGUAGGCAAAUCCGCUUAACGUUAGACCGAGAUCUUACAGGCUCUUGACACUCUUCGGAGGAGAUGGAGAAUCGAUGAUACUGUCGUGCCAAGAAAAGCCACUAAGUUUAUUAUAUGUUGCCCGUACCGUAAACCGACACAGGUGGGUGGGAUGAGUAUUCUAAGGCCCGUGGAAGAACCCUCUUUAUGGAACUCUGCAAAAUAGCACCGUAUCUUCGGUAUAAGGUGUGCCUACUUUGGUAUAGAAACUUGCUUUCAAAAGCUAGAGAGGUUGCAACAAAGAGUCCCUCCCGACUGUUUACCAAAAACACAGCACUUUGCUAACACGUAAGUGGAUGUAUAAGGUGUGACGCCUGCCCGGUGCUCGAAGGUUAAUUGAUGAUGUCAGCGCAAGCGAAGCAUUUGAUCGAAGCCCGAGUAAACGGCGGCCGUAACGAUAACGGUCCUAAGGUAGCGAAAUUCCUUGUCAGUUAAAUACUGACCUGCAUGAAUGGCGCAACGAGAUGGGAGCUGUCUCAAAGAGGGAUCCAGUGAAAUUGUAGUGGAGGUGAAAAUUCCUCCUACCCGCGGAAAGACGGAAAGACCCCGUGCACCUUUACUACAGCUUGACACUGUAGCUUGGAUAUUCAUGUGCAGGAUAGGUGGGAGGCUAUGAUGACUAGACGCAAGUAGAGUCGGAGCCAUCCUUGAGAUACCACCCUUGAAUAUUUGAGUUACUAACUGCGAUGAGUUAUCCUCAUUCAGGACAAUGUCUGGUGGGUAGUUUGACUGGGGCGGUCGCCUCCUAAAUAGUAACGGAGGCUUACAAAGGUUAGUUCAAAGCGGUUGGAAAUCGCUUGUUGAGUAUAAUGGCAUAAGCUAGCUUGACUGUGAGACAUACAAGUCGAACAGAGACGAAAGUCGGUCAUAGUGAUCCGGUGGUUCUGUGUGGAAGGGCCAUCGCUCAAAGGAUAAAAGGUACGCCGGGGAUAACAGGCUGAUCUCCCCCAAGAGCUCACAUCGACGGGGAGGUUUGGCACCUCGAUGUCGGCUCAUCGCAUCCUGGGGCUGUAGUCGGUCCCAAGGGUAUGGCUGUUCGCCAUUUAAAGCGGUACGCGAGCUGGGUUCAGAACGUCGUGAGACAGUUCGGUCCCUAUCUUCCGUGGGCGUAGGAAAGUUGAAGAGAUUUGUCCCUAGUACGAGAGGACCGGGAUGAACGUACCACUGGUGUACCAAUUGUUCUGCCAAGAGCAUCGUUGGGUAGCUACGUACGGAUGUGAUAAGAGCUGAAAGCAUCUAAGCUCGAAGCCAACUCUAAGAUGAACUUUCCCUGAAGUUCCCAGCAAGACUAGCUGGUUGAUAGGCUGGAUGUGUAAGCGUUGUAAGACGUUUAGCUGACCAGUACUAAUAGAACGUUUGGC